AAAAAUGUUUUUUUUUAAAACUAUGAUAAGUCCAACCUGAAUUGUGCUAUUCUCCAUGCUGACAUCUCUCCACAGAGCAAACUAUCCAAGGUUCAAACAUGACCUUGCCUAAGACCGUUGCUCAAACAUCUUAGAAUCCCAGAGAACGUUAGCUGGAUACGGGGAUGUUCUCAUCCAGAACAUCCCUUUAUAUGUGCCCAAG
RNAcentral lists this long non-coding RNA (202 nucleotides) under Homo sapiens (human). RNAcentral's name for it is "non-protein coding lnc-PEX14-9:1". Lineage: Eukaryota; Metazoa; Chordata; Mammalia; Primates; Hominidae. The record is from RNAcentral.